This 774-nucleotide ribosomal RNA is filed under the name uncultured Neocallimastigales. Its description in RNAcentral is "partial large subunit ribosomal RNA". It matches the Rfam family "Eukaryotic large subunit ribosomal RNA", at positions 23 to 647 of the family's 3401-position model. Lineage: Eukaryota; Fungi; Neocallimastigomycota; Neocallimastigomycetes; Neocallimastigales. The record is from RNAcentral.
AGAGAGAGACAUGCGCGCAUAUCAAUAAGCGGAGGAAAAGAAACUAACAAGGAUUCCCCUAGUAACGGCGAGUGAAGCGGGAAGAGCUCAAAUUUGAAAUCUUAAAGGGUUUCCCCUUACGAAUUGUAGUUUAAAGAAGUGUUUUCUGUUGAGGUUUUGGUAAAAGUUCUUUGGAAUAGGACAUCAUAGAGGGUGAGAAUCCCGUAUUUGACCUUUACUUUCAACUUUGUGAUACACUCUCAAAGAGUCGGAUUGUUUGGGAAUGCAGUCCAAAAUGGGUGGUAAAUUUCAUCUAAAGCUAAAUAUUGGCGAGAGACCGAUAGCGAACAAGUACCGUGAGGGAAAGAUGAAAAGAACUUUGAAAAGAGAGUUAAACAGUACGUGAAAUUGUCAAAAGGGAAGCGUUUGACACCAGUGUUGUUUUUCUGAAAAUCAAUUAAAGAACUGUUUAUGCUAAGCUGUUUAGACUUUAUCAGCUAACUGUUUAGUUUUGAGCUUUUCUUUAAUGCACUUUUCAGUUAACAAGUCAACAUCAAUUUCUUUUGCUGUAAAAAAGCUUGAGGAAGGUGGCUUGAGAUUCGUCUUAAGUGUUUAUAGCCUCUUGCCUAUGCAGUCGGAGAGAUUGAGGUCUGCAGCGUAGAUCCUUCGGGGCUAAAUGCAUUUGUGCUAAGUUAUAGCAUUUUAUAGACAACUUGUUGACUAUGAUUUGUCUUGUAGCUUACUCGCUUAUGUUAUUUUACCUACGCUUAGGAUGUUGACGCAUGAGAUAUACGC